AGGAAGCUCCGGGGUCGGUGAAAGUCCGAGCCGGCGGUGAAAGUCCGCGACCCGCCUGCUAUCAGGUGGCUGAAUCGGUGUAAUUCCGAUACCGACGGUGAAAGUCCGGAUGGGAGGAGCGCGUC
This 125-nucleotide non-coding RNA is filed under the name Schaalia turicensis. Its description in RNAcentral is "Actinomyces turicensis FMN sequence". It matches the Rfam family "FMN riboswitch aptamer (RFN element)". Rfam says of the family: The RFN element is a highly conserved domain that is found frequently in the 5'-untranslated regions of prokaryotic mRNAs that encode for flavin mononucleotide (FMN) biosynthesis and transport proteins. This element is a metabolite-dependent riboswitch that directly binds FMN in the absence of proteins. RNAcentral also lists the same sequence under 1 other name. The record is from RNAcentral. Lineage: Bacteria; Bacillati; Actinomycetota; Actinomycetes; Actinomycetales; Actinomycetaceae.